UGGCUCAGUGGGUAAAGCGUCUGCCUCCAAUGCGGGAGACCCAGGUUCGAUCCCUGG
This 57-nucleotide transfer RNA is filed under the name Bos taurus (domestic cattle). It matches the Rfam family "tRNA", at positions 8 to 63 of the family's 71-position model. From Rfam's summary of the family: Transfer RNA (tRNA) molecules are approximately 80 nucleotides in length. Their secondary structure includes four short double-helical elements and three loops (D, anti-codon, and T loops). The record is from Rfam by way of RNAcentral. Lineage: Eukaryota; Metazoa; Chordata; Mammalia; Artiodactyla; Bovidae. RNAcentral also lists the same sequence under 3 other names.